GUGCUCACUUUGGCAGCACAUAUACUAAAAUUGGAAUGAUACUGAGAUUAGCAUGGCCCCUGCGCAAGGGUGACAGGCAAAUUCAUGAAGCGUUCCAU
RNAcentral lists this small nuclear RNA (98 nucleotides) under Cervus elaphus hippelaphus. The record is from RNAcentral. Lineage: Eukaryota; Metazoa; Chordata; Mammalia; Artiodactyla; Cervidae.